This 345-nucleotide long non-coding RNA is filed under the name Hordeum vulgare. RNAcentral's name for it is "long non-coding RNA (HVUL_LNC012716)". Lineage: Eukaryota; Viridiplantae; Streptophyta; Magnoliopsida; Poales; Poaceae. The record is from RNAcentral.
UAGGAGAGUUGGGACAAUUUUCGUUGGUUUAUUUCUCACACAAUGCCAUGCCAACCUGAGGGGUUGGGGAUACAUAUUUAUAGGCUGCUAGCCAGCCAAGCAUAUGCUAAGAUGCUAGUCUAAGAUGCUGCUAAGAUGCUAGUCCAAGAUGCUAUCCUAACUGCCAGUCCUUGAUGGUCAAGGAUUCUAUCCUAACAGCCACAAGGACCAUGUGCUGCAGCCCCACAAAGGACUAUGUGCUGCAGCCCCACAAAGACCAUAGUACAUAGACUUAUCCAUCAGAUUGGGUUAGGAAAACCAUAUGAUUUGGACACACUGGUGUACGCAUCAGUCUUAAAGGUCAAA